UCUUUGAGCUUCCGGGACUUGUAAGUCUAUUUCCCUCAUGGAGUUAAGAAAAUUUUCUGUCAUUAUUUCUUCAAAUAGGUUUUCAAUAUCUUGCUCUCUCUUCUCCUUCUGGAA
Molecule: long non-coding RNA, 114 nt
Organism: Myotis davidii
Lineage: Eukaryota; Metazoa; Chordata; Mammalia; Chiroptera; Vespertilionidae
Exons: 3
Source: RefSeq, a predicted model, not a curated record